AUUUUAGGUCACUGUAGUCGGCAAGCAGUUUGCAGCAGUUUUGCAUCAGUUAUCUCUGGGGAAAAAAGGGGGAAUUACUAUGAUCAAUGUGACUGGAAUUAAUUUCUUUUUAUCACUCUUUGAACAGUCACUCAAAUUUCCUCAAAUCUUGCAUUGUGUGACCCUCUUUGCCACUCAGGACAGUGUGAAACAGAACCAUUCCAUGAACGCCUCAGAUUUUGCUUUUAAAUUUUUUAUGCGAGGUGCCAGCAUUGAUGAGAAAUUAAUUGCCUAUACAUGUUGGUGCAUGGUCACUGAAAUGAGUGAGAUUGGAUGCUUUACAUUUGAAUGGGCAGAGGACGCCCUGCACUAGAUCAUAUCUUUCCCCUCACCAGUCUCCUAGCGGCAGGUGCAGUAUGUACAUAACAUGGGAAUUUGUAGUUUCUUGCUAGAGAGAGCACCAGCAUUUGUUAUCUUCAUUGAUGCAACUGUAGUGCUACACGUAGUUCAUGUACCAACCAUGCCUGUAAUUUGUGCAUCUCAGUGUCUUUUUGCUGGCCGCAGACAAUGGUGACCCCUUCAGUUGGAAUGUCAGGCCAAAGAACCUCUACUGCAUCUGUAUGCUAAAGUCUCAAGCCAUUUUCUUACAGUUCGGAUGAACUCACCGACAGUAUGCUAUGCAUGUGUUGUCAACUCUACUAGGUCGUCAUGGUUGAAGUGUUCCAUCAACUUUUUCUUAACUGACCCGUGGCUGAAAUCCAGUGAAAGUAGAAACAGUGUAUCCUUGUCAUUUGCACUGGAACCCUUGAAGAAACAGUUUGUCAAAUCUCAAAGAAGGCAGCACCAUCUGUGGAAUUCUUGAGGGCACCGGUCAAGUCUUCGAAUCUAAUCACUGAUGUCUGACUGUGUGACAUGAUCGAGUAUCCUUACUCGUCUACCUCUCUGCCUGCGGUACUAGUCAAUGUCCUGGCACUGACACCAUGCGGCACCUGUUGGAAUCAUAGCACAUCACUGAAAUGGACUCUGCAAGUUGAGGGUAACAGGGUUAUGGAAACUUUCGGAAGGGGCAUUGAAGUCUGGGAUUUGGUAGGCAGAUCAGUCCGUUGACUGGAUGUUCCAAACCAUCCAUCAUUCAGUGCUGCAAUUACAGUGGUGUGCCAUCUUGAAGAGUCCAUUUUCUUGAUGAAGAUGUACGGGCAAAAACCAGCAGCAAGGCCGAAGAUGUUACUGUCUGAAGUGUGUUAUUUGCCGCGGCUUCCUUUGACAAACCUAGGCAGCACAAACCAGAUGCUACAAACGCUCAAAGAUUAGAUUUGCAGAAAAAAGUGUACAGAUUAUCUUCCAAUGGUAAACAUGGUUUAGGACUAUAUGUCUUGUUUGGAAGAGUUUUUGGAACAGGGAAUAAGAGUAAAUGUCUUCAGUUGAACAUGCACGACUUCUUUUUAAACACCAAACCCAUAUUUUGAGAACUGCUUUUCAGGGUGUAUUUUUGUCUAUAGAGAAAGAAAUCAAGUAUGUUUUAACUUACUUUUUCUAAAUGUCAUAAAAAUUACAAAGCUUUAGACAAAUUGUUCACUUAUGUGGAGACAAUUCAAAAUGUUCAUCAUACGUUCAUGAUUGCACAAAGUAAUCACUAUCAUCCCUUUAAUGAAGCUGUAAAGUAGGACUCAUAAAUUCUUGAGAACCCUAGAGAAAUUAACUGAUGUACAAUUUUAUUGUUUUUCAGUUUUUCCCCUGAACUUUCAAAAUUUUCAUCAGAUUGUAGGAACUUCUUAUUCAAAAUAAGCAGGUACCUGUAAUGCCCAUCAUGUUCCUAGAAAGUAUAUAGCAAGAUAGACUAGGAAGCUUACUACCAAAAUUUUUUAUAUAUGCCCAAAAAAGUUAGAAAUUCAGCCACUCUGAAACUUCAGUCUUUGCAGAAUCUCAAUCUCAGAUGUUCCACAAACAGUUGAAUUUUGUGACAACAUAAAAACAUGUAGAAAUGGAUAUUUUGAAGAAAUUUUGAAUAUAGAAAGACUUCCAAUUAUAUUAUGGACCUACUGCUUACUGAAGUAUAUGCAAGGUGUGAAUAUUUUGUUUCUUCCUUUUGCCACAUUCAAA
Molecule: long non-coding RNA, 2079 nt
Filed under: Acanthaster planci (crown-of-thorns starfish)
Lineage: Eukaryota; Metazoa; Echinodermata; Asteroidea; Valvatida; Acanthasteridae
Description: uncharacterized LOC110980691, transcript variant X3
Source: RNAcentral